Molecule: small RNA, 174 nt
Filed under: Dromaius novaehollandiae (emu)
Lineage: Eukaryota; Metazoa; Chordata; Aves; Casuariiformes; Dromaiidae
Description: TUC338 (ENSDNVG00000011189.1)
Source: RNAcentral
GCGGCGGGGGAGGCUGAAGCCCKUCUCGCCCGCAGGUCAGGUACAGUGCGGCCAAGUGCACUGCCGGCUGCCCUACACCGCGCCGCCCGUGCACCUCAAGGCAGACAUGGAAGGACCGCUACCCAACAGGGGGGAGAAGGUAAUCGCGCUCCCUCUUUCAGGCUUUGGGCUCAA